UACGUAGGAUCCAAGCGUUGUCCGGAUUUACUGGGUGUAAAGGGCGUGUAGGUGGGCUCUUAAGUCGGUGGUGAAAACUUGCAGCUCAACUGUAAACUUGCCGUCGAAACUGGGAGUCUUGAGUGCGGAAGAGGGAAGCGGAAUUCAUGGUGUAGCGGUGAAAUGUGUAGAUAUCAUGAAGAACACCGGUAGCGAAGGCGGCUUCCUGGUCCGUUACUGACUAUGAGGCGCGAAAGCGUGGGGAGCAAACAGG
Molecule: ribosomal RNA, 253 nt
Filed under: uncultured bacterium
Lineage: Bacteria
Description: partial 16S ribosomal RNA
Rfam family: Bacterial small subunit ribosomal RNA
Source: RNAcentral